RNAcentral lists this ribosomal RNA (253 nucleotides) under uncultured bacterium. RNAcentral's name for it is "partial 16S ribosomal RNA". It matches the Rfam family "Bacterial small subunit ribosomal RNA", at positions 524 to 776 of the family's 1533-position model. The record is from RNAcentral.
GACGUACCGAGCGAACGUUAUUCGGAAUCACUGGGCUUAAAGGGCGCGUAGGCGGGCGAUCAAGUCAGGGGUGAAAGCCCCCAGCUCAACUGGGGAAGUGCCUCUGAUACUGGUCGCCUCGAGGGAGGUAGGGGCGUGCGGAACUUCCGGUGGAGCGGUGAAAUGCGUAGAUAUCGGAAGGAACACCGGUGGCGAAGGCGGUUCUCUGGGCCUUACCUGACGCUGAGGAGCGAAAGCGUGGGGAGCGAACAGG